This 27-nucleotide non-coding RNA is filed under the name Homo sapiens (human). Lineage: Eukaryota; Metazoa; Chordata; Mammalia; Primates; Hominidae. The record is from RNAcentral.
UAAGAGUCAGGAGAAGUAACAAUGAGA